This 24-nucleotide non-coding RNA is filed under the name Gossypium hirsutum (cotton). Lineage: Eukaryota; Viridiplantae; Streptophyta; Magnoliopsida; Malvales; Malvaceae. The record is from RNAcentral.
AAAUGCCUGCAAAGAAGAAGACAG